This is a long non-coding RNA of Liolophura sinensis, 1465 nucleotides long. RefSeq lists it as uncharacterized. The record is from RefSeq and is a predicted model, not a curated record. NCBI's taxonomy places the organism in Eukaryota, Metazoa, Mollusca, Polyplacophora, Chitonida, Chitonidae. The transcript has 3 exons.
UGCGCACGCGAGCGAUACCAUUGGACGAGCUAAAAUCGCAGGCUACGUGAAGAGCUAAUUGUCACGAACAAACGCGUUAACUCAGCGCGCGGAUUUUGCCACACGGCCAGAGUAUCUUAGACCAGUAGACAGUAGCUUGGUCUAAGCAGCAGGAGGGUCUAGUAGAAUUUAGAAUACAAUUGCACCAAACUCCUUACAAGCGGAACGCUUUUGAGAAAGACUGCUGGAAGAAACAAGAAAAAGAUAAAACGAAAAAGGCGCGUGAGCGAGAUAACAUGGCGGGCAAGUCUUGGAAGAGUUUACCUGUUGCCAAAGCGUUCUGACAAAAGAAUUAAGUGGACGAUAAGGAUCCAGCGUUUUAUAUUUCUCAAUAGCAACUGCAGGGUGUUGUCUCUUCAGGUCGUAAAGCCAUGUUAAUCGAUGUGUAAGGAUUUCCACCAACAGCUCUAAACUAAAAUAUUUCUCGGAACAUUCAUCGCCGCCAUCUGUUCAACGCCAAAAGAAGAAGGAAUCCAAGAGCCCAGACAUUAAUUGACGUAGACAGAGAGCAGGGAUUCCGGUCUGACAGUCAGAUAUUUUCCCCAAAGAUUUACAGGAUCACAUACAUAUAUAUAUAUAGAUAUAUAUUAUUCACAGGCAACAAGGGUGCACGAAAUCGCGGACUGAGGAAAAACCCGUGCAAGAAAUUUUUCAAUUCAUAUUCCCACAAAAUGGAGCUUCGGGUGAUUUUAGUGGACAUUAUUUUACUGAUGUUUCUCUCGCCAUUAGCUGUCUCCAAACCACGAGGGGUGGGGCUUCUUGUAAACUCUGGAAACUUUGACAACUCACCAGAAUUGUCAGGCAACAAAGAUGAUUUAAAACGAGAAAAACAACUUUUUAGAUUUCAGUGAAUUUCUUGCCGAUCUCCAUUCGCCUGUUCACGACCGCCAGGGUGAUCCACGAACGAGGUCCUCAGUUGCAGAGAAAAGACAGAGAAUGUACGGAAUACCUGUCCGAAACUUUUUCCCCGGCGAUCUGAAGAGGGAACUACUUCCCGUCAGCAACCGAAUAACACCCUUUGGGACCAGGCUAUUUCUCAAGACGGAGAAACCGAUCGGAGUCAAUCGUAACUUGUUCCGGUAUGGCUAAUCCUGCUCACCCCUCCGUUGUUAGUGGAGUGAUCCAGUGACUUCACGACCGACUGCUGUCCUAAAUCCAAUCGUUGUCUAACUCUCUAUGACACCACGAGAUGUACUGAAUUUGGUGGUGCUAUUCACUGGUUGAAAGAGAAAUUAUGAAAUGCAAAUACAGUUUAUCGUUCUUUAAAUCUCUUCGUGUCGCAGACUCUCUUGUAUUCAACUGAUUUAUGGUGGUAUUUAAAUUCCGGUGACUAAGAUGGCAUAUAAUUCUUAUCCGAUGCAAUUUCCUUCGCUGGUAUAAUUUUACACAGAAACGCCAUACAGCUAACUGAUGGGUGUUUAAGGAG